RNAcentral lists this ribosomal RNA (339 nucleotides) under Triticum aestivum (bread wheat). RNAcentral's name for it is "partial small subunit ribosomal RNA". The record is from RNAcentral. Lineage: Eukaryota; Viridiplantae; Streptophyta; Magnoliopsida; Poales; Poaceae.
AUGGCCGAAGCCCUGGUACUUCGGUUCGGUCUUAAUUUGGCGCAAAGCUACGGCUGCUCAAGACUGGUGAUAAAAUCGGAUAAUAUCGAUGUGAUACAGGCAAUGCAAGAGGGUGGUCUAUUUGCGGGACCGGCCGCUGCUAUUAUAGAUGAUUGCUACCACAUGUCCCGUGAUCUUGUCAUAGCUUAGUUUGAGCAUUGCCAUCGUGAAGCAAAAUCUGUUGCCCACGAGUUAGCAAGAUUAGCUAGGUUCUCUCCCCCUAGCACCUGGUUCGAUGAGGCCCCUAGUGCCUUACUUCCCCUUAUUGUAAAAGACUCUUUGUUGGUUUCUUCUGAAUAA